RNAcentral lists this non-coding RNA (795 nucleotides) under Echinostoma caproni. RNAcentral's name for it is "Eukaryotic large subunit ribosomal RNA". It matches the Rfam family "Eukaryotic large subunit ribosomal RNA", at positions 2060 to 2379 of the family's 3401-position model. The record is from Rfam by way of RNAcentral. Lineage: Eukaryota; Metazoa; Platyhelminthes; Trematoda; Plagiorchiida; Echinostomatidae.
GACGAGGCCCUACUGGUUUGAUGGCGACCGGGUCUCUAGUUGUGCGGACGGUUGGUGUGGUGCACCGCCGUCAGGAUCCCGCCCUUCGAAUAUACUUGGAGGGAAUAGCACAGCCGUGGGCGAAGGCCCUAAUAUCGGUCAGUGGACUGAUACGGUUCGGGUGGAUCCAGUUUCCAGUGACUGGGAGCUGCCUUUUGGGGGCGAUGAGAUCAAAGAGUCUUUUGACCGGUGGAGUAGGAAAUCCAGUCUAUAACUUUGCUUACUGGUUUGCCGUGCCUGGAAUAAUGCCUGCCUUGUUAUCCCUUUCUUUUGGCGGGCCCAGGUGUAAUGGUAUGACUCGGCGACUUUCGCUGUUAAUCCCAACUGGCGGGACGUGUGUCUUGCUAACCCAACCGGGGGAGAACGAUUAGCACCGUAUCAAAGUGUACCCGGCACUGACGCACGUUGGAACUUGGACAGUAUGGAGGGUGGGAGGCCAUCAGUCGGUCCGUUGACAGGAUGCCUGGUUGGAGGUGUCCGCUUUCAUGCCCAGAGCGUUACUAGAUGUUGCCCCUCAGAUUGGGUGGUGUGACCAUGUGCUACACUGCACAAAAGAGCCCUUGUUCGCGGGUUCGCAGUCCCUUUCUUUUCCGGCGUUUGAGCCGAUGGUUUUAGCGCGUGGUCCCUUUCUGAAAAUACGCGUAAAACUGUCAAAAUAGCCAAAUGCCUCGUCAUCUAAUUAGUGACGCGCAUGAAUGGAUUAACGAGAUUCCUACUGUCCCUAUCUACUAUCUAGCGAAACCACAGCCAAGGGAA